UCUUUUACGUUUGGGUGGCUCGUGCGAGCGAGCACUCACGCACGACGUGCAAAGCAAGGGGCAAGGAAAGAAAGAAAUGAACAAAGAGUCCGGGGUACACUAGCUGAGCCGUAGUUCCGUCCGGCUGCGCGUUCGGUUGGUCUAGGCGUGUGCGAAACCUGGUGAGGUGAGGCGGAGAGCGACGAGGGAAAGGAGGGAGAGGGGGGAGGGUCACCGCGCCGCGGCCGGCCACGGGGGCCUCUGACUUCUCGGGUCGGCGGGCGGGCGGGGGCGCUAGAGGCCAGGGCUGAGGGCGGCGCGGCGGCCACGUGGUGUAACAUGUGACUUCCUUCCGGAAAAACAUAUAAUUUUAAUCGUAAUCUGGGAUGUACUAUUCUUUGGUACCGUGGUCCUUCGUUCCGUCUCUUUUUUCGUCGUAACCUACGACCCCGUACCUACAAGUUACAACAUUGAAGCCAACCGUAUUAGUACCAGUUGUUCCGGAAUUACCGAUGUGUACCAAAAUCGAAACGGUGUUGUAACUGACCCUACGUAAAACGUUGAUGGUGAAACUACUGUAACCAUUACUUUACCAAUCCUAUGCAAGUCGGUAGAGUAAAUGGAGACAGCCUCGAUCAUUUCAAACAUAAAAAACGUUUGGAUAGUUAACAACCCUACUUACAAUCGAACUACACCUUGAGACAACCGAAAAUAGUCUAACGCUUCGAUAGAUAAUAAGGUGAAGAUACGUAAUACCUCCAGGACAAGCUUUUAAAGGCAAUGAGCUCCCUAUGUUUCGAAUCAUAUCACCAACAGGAACAUCCACACCCUCACACAUGUCAAAGACUACAGUCACAUUUACGCGUUCCUAACCAUCGACGGCAUUAUCGUCAAACGCCGUGACGUAAUGUUGUCGUAAUACAGUUAAUGGAAGUUGCCUUCAUGAGAGAGUUGAGUGAGUUUGAGAACCCAGUGUGACGUGGUCGAGUUCGUCGAAGUGACAACUAUAAUCCGGGUAAGCACCUGAAGACCGAAUGGUCCUUAUCUUAGCUGUGAAAAGUGAUGUGGUCGUGUCACUGCAAGAAGUAACACGACAGUACGCAAUAAAGUCAACCCUGGUUAGAGUCGGUUAAGUAUACGUAACCCUCUAAGUGGCGGCAGUGCAAAGUUCACUAGCCUGUGUACUUCUGUUAAGAGCACGAUUGGGACCCUAAAGACAACAAGCCCUUUCUUCCGGACUUAAAGGUACACCGCAAACCCUACUAGGAGCGGUAACAACCCUACUAUACCAUGUCGUCGCGCAGAAGCUUUGGGCCUCCGUUCCUCGCCGUCCCAGACCGCUCGCUCUUCCGGGUCUUCAGCGGUGUCAGCCUCGACCUGCUAUUUCAUACUCUACCUUCGGAGCUUCAAGGAUAGCAGUCGAUAAAUAUACCUGGGACAGAAUAUAUAGUUUUCAUUUUACUAGCACUCUUAAAAGGAGUAACAUGUGCCAAGGAACCUCCUUACAAAGAUGUCCCUACAAUCUUUACAUCCGGUGUCCUCUUUCUGUCUCAAAUGUGAAAGCGUCCUUUAUGAGGAUGUAUCCAAUGCACCCGUCUGCAAAAGUCAAAGUUCUGAACCAUUAAAAUAGCGGCCGCAAGGAAGAAAACACUUUCAGUAGUGACAGCAAGAAACUGUUAGAAUGAUAUGUGUAAAUGUGCAAUGAACAGUCGGUCAUCAGUAAUCUCGUUGAGAUCGUCUUCAGUCGGUAUACCCGUCGG
RNAcentral lists this ribosomal RNA (1739 nucleotides) under Triticum aestivum (bread wheat). RNAcentral's name for it is "partial small subunit ribosomal RNA". Lineage: Eukaryota; Viridiplantae; Streptophyta; Magnoliopsida; Poales; Poaceae. The record is from RNAcentral.